Zonotrichia albicollis (white-throated sparrow) is the source of this 1088-nucleotide non-coding RNA. The record is from RefSeq and is a predicted model, not a curated record. Lineage: Eukaryota; Metazoa; Chordata; Aves; Passeriformes; Passerellidae.
AGAGUGAUGGCACACCUGGGUUUUUUCUUUAGGAAAUGCUACUGGAAAGCAGUCAGCUUCAAAUAAACCCAGUGAAUUGAAAGAAUACAUUCUGAUUUUGUACAGGUCCUGGGUUUUGGAUGGGAAAGAAAAUAAAUGAGUACUUCAGCUCCAUUAAAUCCUUAUAGAAGAGACUGUAAAGGGUGCCAACCUUCAAGUAAACACCUUGUUUGACCUGAGACCUUGGAAAAAGCUUCAAAAAUUGAGUGAUUGCACAGAAAUAGUGUAAAUUGCACUCCUGACUUCUUUCCCAAAAUUUGGAAGAAAAACUGAAGUGAUUUGUCCAAGAAUAAUGGUCCCACUAACUUUCCAGAGUGUGGAUGUUAGACUUAGAGUCAUAUGUCCUUUUCAACAAGGAAACAAGGGACCUUUACCAUUGUGAUUCUGGGAGGAUGCAUUAUUUCUGAUUUUCAGCAGAAACUUACAGGAGCUCCAUAAAGAGAAGAAACCAGCAUGUCUAGGACUCCUCUGAUGCAGCAGUUUCUUAGACUAGUCAUUGUUAUGAGCCACACCCGUUACCUGCUCCCACACCUGCAGGAAAGCUAAUAUUAAACAUUUCAUAGGAGUCUACAGGAUGUCAUUUGUAAUAACAACUGGCACCUGGAAACACUGAAGAGGAUUCGGCUGACAGAAGGAUAACACCAGGUCAUUCAGACAUAAUGUGGAAUUGCAAAUGAAUUAAAAAGAACAAGCUGUAAAGUAAGAAAGAAAAUGUACCAAAAGUCCCGAGCAGACUUUAGAAAGAGAAGGAAGAAACCAGCAAUUUCAACAUUAUGCUGCUUGGGCACAGCUAUCGUGUUCCUUUCAGAAAAAAAAAAAUGGAAAAAUUAUGCUCCCUGUCACCAUUUCCUCAUUUCCUCCCCUGACUGAAGGCAACUGCCUGAAGACUCGAGAGAAAGAGUGGAAAGGCAUAUGAUGCAAGCCCAUAUUUGGGGAAAAUUGAUGCUCUCACUGGGCUCCCCUCUGAACUGGAGUGGUGAAGCACUGCUGCAACACAGAGAGUAAAAGCCCCCCAGUGACAGAGCACCAGCCAGCUGCUCUUUUGAAGU